UAUAAGAAAAAACAUAGCAUAUACAGGAUUUGGUAGUUAGGCAUCAACUGGGGAGUCUUGAAUGUAUUCCCCACAGAUAAGGGGAGUAGUGUGUGUGCGUUAACAGUAAAGACUUAUUCAAGCUUUCUCAAGCCAUGGCAACUUGUUCAGGCUGCAUGAGUCAACAAGAGAGAAAAAGAACCCCACAGAAAUUCUAGAACAGGAAUUCAGAGCAAAACUAAGGAUGGGAUCCAUCUCUAAAACUAGGUCAUUCUGGUAAUCCCUUGGCUGUAGCUUUUGGAGACUCUUAAAGGUGAUAUUUCACCUUUAACACCAUUCAGCUCUUCUCUUGAUGUCUACUUUCCUCUGGGGCAUUUAAUUCCCCUACUUCUCUCACAACUAAAUUUUCUUCAUAUUUCUCAGUCCCAGUUGCCAAAAUCAGAAAGAAUCUUACUUUCUUAGUCACCAGUUGUCAUCCUUUGCUCAGGCAGCUUAGCUGCCCUUGCACCAGGAAGGAAGGAGGAAGACUACAAGGAAAUGUGGAAUAGGACAUGGGGUCUCAAAGGAAUAGCCCAGCCACUUUUCUUGGCUGAAAGUAUAGCCAGGGCAGUUUCCAGUUGUGAGUGUGUGAUAAAGAUAUUCCAGAAUUUCCUGACUCGUACUUGAAAGAGACAAAUACAACUUGAGAGUUGAGGACUAACUAACCAUCUCUGUGCCAGUUAUCCUAGUGAUUUCCAAAAUACCUCCUAAAUCAGCAUCUCUUGGGAGAGCUUGCUAAUUGAAGUUGAAGCAUUCCACGUCCUCCAGAAAACACUCAAACUAAUGAGGUAACAAAGGCCCAGAGGACAAAAAUUAAGCAAAUCAAAGUUUAUUCUUGAAAUGAAACUCUUGAAAUCUCAACUUGAGAAAAUAAGCAAGAAAAGUCAAAAGCUUAAAAAAGAAAAAAUUGCCAAAUAAAAGAACAUCACAUAUUUUUGGACCUUACAAGAACUAGCUAAAUUGAGGAUGUAAAACAGUACCUAUAGACAACAACAAGAAAGGGAAAAGAAAAAACAACAGCAGCAGCAAAAACAACAACAACAACAACAACAAAAACCUAGUACCUAUAGUAUAUUCCCAGGUUGCUUGCUUUUGAAUUUUAUAAAAAAAUACAUAAUGUUUGCUAUUUGAUUCAAGGUUAUAAGCUUUUAUAAUUUUUUUCUUCAGUACUAGGGAUUGAAGCCAGGGCCUUGGGCAUGCUAAGUAAGUGCUCUACCACCGAGCAAUCACUCUACCUCCAACCCUGGAAUUCUUUCUAUUGCAGAGUACUUUUACUAAGGAUUAUAAAUAAACUUUUAAACUGUGA
This is a non-coding RNA of Ictidomys tridecemlineatus (thirteen-lined ground squirrel), 1324 nucleotides long. The record is from RefSeq and is a predicted model, not a curated record. NCBI's taxonomy places the organism in Eukaryota, Metazoa, Chordata, Mammalia, Rodentia, Sciuridae.